UCCUCAUUAGCUCAGUUGGUAGAGCGUUCGGCUUUUAUGACUAAAAUCAAAAGUCGACCGAAAUGUCCAGGGUUCGAGCCCCUGAUGAGGAG
Molecule: transfer RNA, 92 nt
Filed under: Millerozyma farinosa CBS 7064
Lineage: Eukaryota; Fungi; Ascomycota; Pichiomycetes; Serinales; Debaryomycetaceae
Rfam family: tRNA
About the family: Transfer RNA (tRNA) molecules are approximately 80 nucleotides in length. Their secondary structure includes four short double-helical elements and three loops (D, anti-codon, and T loops).
Source: Rfam by way of RNAcentral